Molecule: ribosomal RNA, 466 nt
Filed under: uncultured bacterium
Lineage: Bacteria
Description: bacterial SSU rRNA
Rfam family: Bacterial small subunit ribosomal RNA
Source: RNAcentral
CCCCAGACUCCUACGGGAGGCAGCAGUGAGGAAUAUUGGUCAAUGGUCGGGAGACUGAACCAGCCAAGCCGCGUGAGGGAUGAAGGUACAGAGUAUCGUAAACCUCUUUUGUCAGGGAACAAAGGCGGGGACGUGUCCCCGGAUGAGUGUACCUGAAGAAAAAGCAUCGGCUAACUCCGUGCCAGCAGCCGCGGUAAUACGGAGGAUGCGAGCGUUAUCCGGAUUUAUUGGGUUUAAAGGGUGCGCAGGCGUUUUUUAUACCCAGGGCAAAGCGCCGGGGCCCCACCCCCGGCCCGCCGUUGAAACUGGCAGUCUCGAGUUGGAGAGAAGUAUGCGGAAUGCGUGGUGUAGCGGUGAAAUGCAUAGAUAUCACGCAGAACUCCGAUUGCGAAGGCAGCAUACCGGCGCGCAACUGACGCUCAUGCACGAAAGCGUGGGUAUCGAACAGGAUUAGAUACCCUGGUAC